GUGGACUCUCAAGCGUGAGGUAAGGGCAUCUGGUGAAUGCCUUGGCAUGUACAGGCGAUGAAGGACGUGGCACGCUGCGAUAAGCGUGGGGGAGCUGUGAGCAAGCUUUGAUCCCGCGAUUUCCGAAUGGGACAACCCAUCCUCACCAUUUAUCUUGCGGUCGUUUCGGCGGCAGCAAGAGUAAAUGGGGAAGGAUAUCACCUUAGUGAAUAAAAUAGCUUUGGUGAAGCGAACCCGGAGAACUGAAACAUCUCAGUACCCGGAGGAAAAGACAUCAACCGAGAUUCCGUUAGUAGUGGCGAGCGAACGCGGACCAGGCCAGUGCCUGAUAUUCAACUAGCAGAAGCUUCUGGAAAGGAGCGCCAUAGCGGGUGACAGCCCCGUAUGCGAAAGUGAUGUAUCAGGACUCGAGUAGGGCGGAGCACGUGAAACUCUGUCUGAACAUGGGGGGACCACCCUCCAAGCCUAAAUACUCGUACAUGACCGAUAGUGAACCAGUACCGUGAGGGAAAGGUGAAAAGCACCCCGAUGAGGGGAGUGAAACAGUACCUGAAACCGGAUGCCUACAAGCAGUGGGAGCCUCUUUAUGGGGUGACCGCGUACCUCUUGCAUAAUGGGUCUGUGACUUAGUGUAUCAAGCAAGCUUAAGCCGUUAGGUGUAGGCGCAGCGAAAGCGAGUCUGAAUAGGGCGAUUGAGUUUGAUGCAUUAGACCCGAAACCCGGCGAUCUAGGCAUGACCAGGCUGAAGGUGCGGUAACACGCACUGGAGGGCCGAACCGUUUAAUGUUGAAAAAUUAUCGGAUGAGUUGUGUUUAGGGGUGAAAGGCCAAUCAAGCCGGGAAAUAGCUGGUUCUCCGCGAAAUCUAUUGAGGUAGAGCGUCGGAUGAUUGCCGUUGGGGGUAGAGCACUGGAUGGAUGCGGGGGUCGCGAGAUCUACCAAUUCUAACCAAACUCCGAAUACCAACGAGUCUAGUCCGGCAGACAGACGGCGGGUGCUAAGGUCCGUCGUCAAAAGGGAAACAGCCCUAACCUACAGCUAAGGUCCCCAAGUCAUCACUAAGUGGGAAAGCAUGUGGAAAUCCCAAAACAACCAGGAGGUUGGCUUAGAAGCAGCCAUCCUUUAAAGAAAGCGUAACAGCUCACUGGUCUAAAUAAGGGUUUCUGCGGCGAAAAUGUAACGGGGCUAAAGUGAUGCACCGAAGCUUAGGGUUCAGUCUUUGACUGAGCGGUAGCGGAGCGUUCCGUAGGCCGAUGAAGCCGUCUGGUAAUGGACGGUGGAGGUAUCGGAAGUGCGAAUGCAGACAUGAGUAGCGAUUAACAGUGUGAGAUGCACUGUCGCCGAAAUUCCAAGGGUUCCUGCUUAAAGCUAAUCUGAGCAGGGUAAGCCGGCCCCUAAGACGAGCCCGAAGGGGGUAGUCGAUGGGAACCACGUUAAUAUUCGUGGGCCUGGUGGUGUGUGACGGAUGCCGUAACUUGUCAGUCCUUAUUGGAUUGGUCUGGCAGGGAAGGUGUUCCAGGAAAUAGCCCCACCGUAUAGACCGUACCCUAAACCGACACAGGUGGAAUGGUAGAGUAUACCAAGGCGUUUGAGAGAAGUAUCCUGAAGGAACUCGGCAAAUUGCCUCCGUACCUUCGGAAGAAGGAGGCCCUGCAUUAAGGCAACUUUUUGCAGGGGGCACAGGCCAGGGGGUAGCGACUGUUUAGCAAAAACACAGGGCUCUGCUAAGUCGGCUUCAAGACGACGUAUAGGGUCUGACGCCUGCCCGGUGCUGGAAGGUUAAGAGGAGGAGUGCAAGCUCUGAAUUGAAGCCCCAGUAAACGGCGGCCGUAACUAUAACGGUCCUAAGGUAGCGAAAUUCCUUGUCGGGUAAGUUCCGACCUGCACGAAUGGCGUAACGACUUCCCCACUGUCUCCGACAUCGACUCAGCGAAAUUGAAUUCCCCGUGAAGAUGCGGGGUACCCGCGGUCAGACGGAAAGACCCCGUGCACCUUUACUACAACUUUGCAGUGGUGCUAGGUGGCACAUGUGUAGGAUAGGUGGGAGCCGUUGAAGCCGAGCCGCCAGGUUCGGUGGAGGCACCCUUGAAAUACCACCCUUGUGGCACUUGGCAUCUAACCGCGGCCCGUGAUCCGGGCCCGGGACCCUGCAUGGUGGGUAGUUUGACUGGGGCGGUCGCCUCCCAAAGAGUAACGGAGGCGCGCGAUGGUUGGCUCAGGCUGGUCGGAAACCAGCCGCUGCGUGCAAGAGCACAAGCCAGCCUGACUGCGAGAGCGACGGCUCGAGCAGAGACGAAAGUCGGCUCUAGUGAUCCGGUGGUCCCGCGUGGAAGGGCCAUCGCUCAACGGAUAAAAGGUACGCCGGGGAUAACAGGCUGAUACUCCCCAAGAGUCCCCAUCGACGGGAGUGUUUGGCACCUCGAUGUCGGCUCAUCACAUCCUGGGGCUGAAGCAGGUCCCAAGGGUUCGGCUGUUCGCCGAUUAAAGUGGUACGUGAGCUGGGUUUAGAACGUCGUGAGACAGUUCGGUCCCUAUCUGCCGUGGGUGUUCGAGACUUGCGAGGAUCUGCCCCUAGUACGAGAGGACCGGG
This 2588-nucleotide ribosomal RNA is filed under the name Rhodobiaceae bacterium. RNAcentral's name for it is "partial 23S ribosomal RNA". It matches the Rfam family "Bacterial large subunit ribosomal RNA". The record is from RNAcentral. Lineage: Bacteria; Pseudomonadati; Pseudomonadota; Alphaproteobacteria; Hyphomicrobiales; Rhodobiaceae.